Molecule: ribosomal RNA, 482 nt
Filed under: uncultured bacterium
Lineage: Bacteria
Description: partial 16S ribosomal RNA
Rfam family: Bacterial small subunit ribosomal RNA
Source: RNAcentral
AUUGAACGCUGGCGGCAUGCCUUACACAUGCAAGUCGAACGGCAACGGGCCUUCGGGUGCCGACGAGUGGCGAACGGGUGAGUAAUACAUCGGGACGUGCCCGAUCGUGGGGGAUAACGAGGCGAAAGCUUUGCUAAUACCGCAUACGAUCUACGGAUGAAAGCAGGGGACCGCAAGGCCUUGCGCGGACGGAGCGGCCGAUGGCAGAUUAGGUAGUUGGUGGGAUAAAAGCUUACCAAGCCGACGAUCUGUAGCUGGUCUGAGAGGAUGAUCAGCCACACUGGGACUGAGACACGGCCCAGACUCCUACGGGAGGCAGCAGUGGGGAAUUUUGGACAAUGGGCGCAAGCCUGAUCCAGCCAUGCCGCGUGCAGGAUGAAGGCCUUCGGGUUGUAAACUGCUUUUGUACGGAACGAAAAGCCUUCUUUUAAUACAGGAGGGUCAUGACGGUACCGUAAGAAUAAGCACCGGCUAACUACGUG